Molecule: ribosomal RNA, 296 nt
Filed under: uncultured bacterium
Lineage: Bacteria
Description: partial 16S ribosomal RNA
Source: RNAcentral
GGACUACUGGGGUUUCUAAUCCCAUUCGCUCCCCACGCUCUCGUCCUAGCAGUGUCAGGAGGCACCCAGAGACUUGCCUUCGCUAUUGGUGUUCCAAACGAUAUCAACGCAUUUCACUACUACACCGUUUGUUCCAGUCUCCUCUUUGCCCCUCUAGUCCUGAAGUUUCAAAGGACAGUCACAAAGUUGAGCUUUGUGAUUUCACCUCUGACUUUCAAAACCACCGAUCGGUACGCUUUACGCCCAAUGAUUCCGGAUAACGCUUGAGGUCUCUGUAUUACCGCGGCGGCUGGCAC